AUCACGUUAAGUUGCAAGCGUACCUGGCAGCUUGUCUGCUUGCCCUGUCUCGUUUCUGAGUUGUCUGUUUGUCCGUGUGGUUAAAUACGGCUUUGUCGGAAUUUGGACAAGUCUUAAACGUUCCAUUGAAAGGAAUAGAGGAAUACACGGACUGCAAUCAACGUUGUGUUUGAAGCUUCCGGGACUUGCGACUACAUUAUCAUUCUUUAUAGCAUCAGAAUUAGUAGAACUGCGCAGAAUACGUGUGACGGUGGAAGCAGGCAAGUUGUCAGAUGCGCCGAAGAUUUCACAGUUCUCAAAAGUGUGUACUUGCUUUAAAAUGCGUGAUAUAUUGUGAUAACGAUCCUAUUCUUGGUGCGAGUGAAUUGCAGUGAAUAUUUUAAGUGCAACUCAGAAGACAUUCGUAAGACAGUAAACACGUCGAGAAAAGAAAAAUGAAUGCAUCAAAAUCCAAUCUAAAUUACGUUUAGGCAAAAAGCUCGUUCAUUGAGCUACGCUGUUACACGAACAGUUUUAACCACGCACUGGGAAAAGCAUAUGAGACCUCUUGUUUAUAUUUGUGAGGAACAAGUGAAAGCUCUGAAUGCAAAGGUUGUAUUAAUUCGUCUGCAAAGCAAGAACCCGGCACCAUUGCAAGAACUGGCCUCCAAAGGUAUGCAGAACACUUAAGAAGGCGAAGAAUCCUCAGGGCGAAUGAAGCGGAUUUUGCAGUAAAAUUUUUGGAUGAUGUAAGCAUAAACAAGAAUAUUCCGCACUGAAGAGCAAGUAGCUAUUUUCCAGAUUUGUUCUUCAUUAAUCUUGAAUU
This is a long non-coding RNA of Cryptotermes secundus, 805 nucleotides long. RefSeq lists it as uncharacterized. The transcript is spliced from 4 exons. Lineage: Eukaryota; Metazoa; Arthropoda; Insecta; Blattodea; Kalotermitidae. The record is from RefSeq and is a predicted model, not a curated record.